GACGAACGCUGGCGGCGUGCCUAAUACAUGCAAGUAGAACGCUGAAGGAGGAGCUUGCUUCUCUGGAUGAGUUGCGAACGGGUGAGUAACGCGUAGGUAACCUGCCUGGUAGCGGGGGAUAACUAUUGGAAACGAUAGCUAAUACCGCAUAAGAGUAGAUGUUGCAUGACAUUUGCUUAAAAGGUGCACUUGCAUCACUACCAGGUGGACCUGCGUUGUAUUAGCUAGUUGGUGAGGUAACGGCUCACCAAGGCGACGAUACAUAGCCGACCUGAGAGGGUGAUCGGCCACACUGGGACUGAGACACGGCCCAGACUCCUACGGGAGGCAGCAGUAGGGAAUCUUCGGCAAUGGACGGAAGUCUGACCGAGCAACGCCGCGUGAGUGAAGAUAGGUUUUCGGAUCGUAAAGCUCUGUUGUAAGAGAAGAACGAGUGUGAGAGUGGAAAGUUCACACUGU
RNAcentral lists this ribosomal RNA (459 nucleotides) under Streptococcus mitis. RNAcentral describes it as "bacterial SSU rRNA". It matches the Rfam family "Bacterial small subunit ribosomal RNA", at positions 28 to 472 of the family's 1533-position model. Lineage: Bacteria; Bacillati; Bacillota; Bacilli; Lactobacillales; Streptococcaceae. The record is from RNAcentral.